This 142-nucleotide non-coding RNA is filed under the name Candidatus Brocadia. RNAcentral describes it as "c-di-GMP sequence". It matches the Rfam family "c-di-GMP-I riboswitch aptamer". From Rfam's summary of the family: GEMM was predicted in a large-scale screen for bacterial structured RNA regulatory elements. Genes associated with GEMM are involved in a diverse array of functions, including chemotaxis regulation, signal transduction, secretion and chitin. Lineage: Bacteria; Pseudomonadati; Planctomycetota; Candidatus Brocadiia; Candidatus Brocadiales; Candidatus Brocadiaceae. The record is from RNAcentral.
UUCCAACAACGGCAAACCCUGAGCGAUCGGGGGACGCAAAGGAAAGGGUCUUUACUGUACAGGGAAGUAUAGGAACAAAGAAAUAAAGAAUCUCUAGCGUAUAUGGAAAUACGUAUCAUAAUAAGAUAGCCUUACUGCUGAA